This 465-nucleotide ribosomal RNA is filed under the name uncultured bacterium. Its description in RNAcentral is "partial 16S ribosomal RNA". It matches the Rfam family "Bacterial small subunit ribosomal RNA", at positions 28 to 507 of the family's 1533-position model. The record is from RNAcentral.
GACGAACGCUGGCGGCGUGCUUAACACAUGCAAGUCGAACGGAAAGGCCCUGCUUGCAGGGUACUCGAGUGGCGAACGGGUGAGUAACACGUGGGUGAUCUGCCCUGCACUUCGGGAUAAGCCUUUGAAACUGGGUCUAAUACCGGAUAGGAGCCAUUUUUAGUGUGAUGGUUGGAAAGUUUUUUCGGUGUAGGAUGAGCUCGCGGCCUAUCAGCUUGUUGGUGGGGUAAUGGCCUACCAAGGCGGCGACGGGUAGCCGGCCUGAGAGGGUGGACGGCCAAAUUGGGACUGAGAGAAGGCCCAGACUCCGACGGGAGGAAGAAGGGGGGAAUAUUGAAAAAUGGGCGCAAGCCUGAUGCAGAGACGCCGCGUGGGGGAUGACGGACUUAGGGUUGGAAACUACUUUCGCUAGGGACGAAGCUUUUUGUGACGGUACCUAGAUAAGAAGCACCGGCUAACUACGUG